This 253-nucleotide ribosomal RNA is filed under the name uncultured bacterium. Its description in RNAcentral is "partial 16S ribosomal RNA". It matches the Rfam family "Bacterial small subunit ribosomal RNA", at positions 524 to 776 of the family's 1533-position model. The record is from RNAcentral.
UACGUAGGGAGCAAGCGUUGUUCGGAUUUACUGGGCGUAAAGGGCGCGUAGGCGGCGCGGUAAGUCACUUGUGAAAUCUCUGAGCUUAACUCAGAACGGCCAAGUGAUACUGCAGUGCUAGAGUGCAGAAAGGGCAAUCGGAAUUCUUGGUGUAGCGGUGAAAUGCGUAGAUAUCUGAAGGAACAUCAGUGGCGAAAGCGACUUCCUGGACCAAUACUGACGCUCAUGUGCGAAAGCGUGGGGAGCAAACAGG